RNAcentral lists this ribosomal RNA (253 nucleotides) under uncultured bacterium. Its description in RNAcentral is "partial 16S ribosomal RNA". It matches the Rfam family "Bacterial small subunit ribosomal RNA", at positions 524 to 776 of the family's 1533-position model. The record is from RNAcentral.
UACGAAGGGGGCUAUCGUUGUUCGGAAUUACUGGGCGUAAAGGGCGCGUAGGCGGUCUUGUAAGUCAGAUGUGAAAGCCCCGGGCUCAACCCGGGAAUAGCAUUUGAUACUGCGAGGCUUGAGUCCGGGAGAGGAUGGCGGAAUUCCCAGUGUAGAGGUGAAAUUCGUAGAUAUUGGGAAGAACACCGGUGGCGAAGGCGGCCAUCUGGACCGGUACUGACGCUGAGGCGCGAAAGCGUGGGGAGAAAACUGG